Molecule: long non-coding RNA, 609 nt
Organism: Dermochelys coriacea (leatherback sea turtle)
Lineage: Eukaryota; Metazoa; Chordata; Testudines; Dermochelyidae
Exons: 2
Source: RefSeq, a predicted model, not a curated record
UGACCUCGGAGUCGUAGGCAAGCUCAUGCAGCCACUUGUGGACUGUUGCACAGCUUGGGAAUGAAACGGUUGAUAGUGUUAAAAAGGUGGAGUGGGAGAGAUGCUAUUCUUUUGUGUGAGUCGAAAUGUGCUGCUAUGAACUCCAGUUGUUGGGUGGGAGUGAGUGAAGAUUUUCUUUGUUCAUUCGCAGACCAAGAGCGUGGAAACAUUGGACUGUCCAUUGUGUGGACUGAAUGGCUUCUUGGAAGGUCCUGGCUUUGAAAGGCAGUUGUCGAGGGAUUUGGAUACCGAGAGACCGUAAUGUCGCUCUCGACUCCUUCAUGGAGUGAAGCACAUCGCUGGUGUUACUGGCAAAUAGUUUUUCACCAUAAAAAGGGAGAUCUUCUAUGGUAUUCUGAACCUCGCAAGGAAAAGAAGAUGAUGAAAGCCAUGAAGUUUGAUGCACCAUGACUGCUGUAACAGUGGAUCUCGCAGUUGUCUUAGCAACAUCAAGUGCAGCUUGUAGUGCGGUACGGGAGAUGAUUUGUCAGUCAGAGACUAUGGUUUUAAACUGAUGGUGGUUUUUUUUCCCCCCUCUGGAAUGUCAUCAAUAAAGUCCUUGAGUUUCUC